ACCUACGGGAGGCAGCAGUGGGGAAUAUUGCACAAUGGGGGAAACCCUGAUGCAGCGACGCCGCGUGAGUGAAGAAGCGCCUCGGCGCGUAAAGCUCUGUCAGCAGGAACGAUAAUGACGGUACCUGAAGAAGAAGCCCCGGCUAACUACGUGCCAGCAGCCGCGGUAAUACGUAGGGGGCAAGCGUUAUCCGGAUUUACUGGGUGUAAAGGGAGCGUAGACGGCAAUGCAAGUCCGGAGUGGAAUGCGGCAGCUCAACUGCCGAACUGCUCUGGAAACUGUAUGGCU
RNAcentral lists this ribosomal RNA (288 nucleotides) under uncultured bacterium. RNAcentral's name for it is "partial 16S ribosomal RNA". It matches the Rfam family "Bacterial small subunit ribosomal RNA", at positions 337 to 642 of the family's 1533-position model. The record is from RNAcentral.